GUUGUUAUAGUUGAGAAAAAGGCAACGGUUACUUGUUUUUUAAUAUUUUUCUUAGCUACUGCGACGAUUUCUACCCAUGAAGAUAUUUUUCUUUUCUUUGGAAUUUCCCUUAACCUAAAAUCCCCCAAACUUUUCAUUUUCUAAUUUGAUUUUUCACAUUCUGCCACUAGCCCACCACAACCCCCUCAGUCUCAUCUAAACUUUCUCUCAUAUUCAAUUCUUCGCUAAACCUAAUGUGAAUUAAAUUAGGGUUUCAAUUUUGUUAACCAAUCACUUUCUAUCUCCUCCAAUGUCGUCAAUGGUGGACAAUUCAAUCCCACUUUCACCACCAUCCCCGUUAACGGCGUCGGCAGUAGCUAUUAGGGCCGGUCAAUCAGUGAUCCCAGUCGUGCACAAGCUUUAGACAUAGUCGCCCAACUUGAGUGGUUCCGCAAGUUUUCGUCGGAGAAAGCCAAAGCAGCGGAAACGAUUGUUCUCGAAGCUCUCGUCGCUGCGGUAUCUCGCCACCAGGGUCCAGAUUAAGAGGAGUGGGGAGAGUUCUUGUAUCUUUCGAAAGCGAUUUUAAUGAUAUUCAGAGGGAAAUUCAGGGUGGUAGAUAGAAUUGAAGGAGAAUGGUAGAUAAAAGGAUGGCAAGAAGGAUGGCAAGAAGGGCAUAGAUAAAAGGAUGGCAAGAAGGGCAUAGAUUGAAGGGCAUAACUCAUAUGGAGUCUUUUCGACAGCUUUAGACGGAGCUCUAUUUAGUGUGAGUGAAGCUGUGUUUAGUGCAUGUCCCCAAAAUUCUAUUGGAAGUUCGGCCUGACCCAUCAUUGAUCGAACCAUGUCUAGCAAGGUCCUGUUCCUCCGUUCUGACACACCGUUCCGUUGAGGUGUUCCAGGAGGAGUCAAUUCUGACAGAAUUCCACAUUCUUUCAGAUGAUCAUCAAAUUCAUAGCUCAGAUAUUGACCGCAUCUAUCAGACCGCAGUGCUUUAAUCUUCUUGCCUAAUUGAUUCUCUACUUCACUCUGAAAUUCCUUGAAUUUGUCAAAAGAUUCAGCCUUAUGCUUCAUUAGGUAGACAUAACCAUAUCUACUGAAGUCAUCAGUGAAAAUGAUAAAGUAGCUGAAACCACCUCUAGCAUUUGAACUCAUUGGUCCACAUACAUCUGUAUGGAUUAAACCUAAUAGUUCAGUUGCUCUUUCUCCAACUUUAGAUAAAGGUUGCUUUAAUUUAUCA
Molecule: long non-coding RNA, 1213 nt
Organism: Spinacia oleracea (spinach)
Lineage: Eukaryota; Viridiplantae; Streptophyta; Magnoliopsida; Caryophyllales; Amaranthaceae
Exons: 2
Source: RefSeq, a predicted model, not a curated record